AUUGAACGCUGGCGGCAUGCCUUACACGUGCAAGUCGAACGGCAGCGGACCUUCGGGUGCCGGCGAGUGGCGAACGGGUGAGUAAUAUAUCGGAACGUACCUUUCAGUGGGGGAUAACGUAGCGAAAGUUACGCUAAUACCGCAUAUUCUGUGAGCAGGAAAGCAGGGGAUCGCAAGACCUUGCGCUGAUUGAGCGGCCGAUAUCAGAUUAGCUAGUUGGUGAGGUAAAGGCUCACCAAGGCGACGAUCUGUAGCGGGUCUGAGAGGAUGAUCCGCCACACUGGAACUGAGACACGGUCCAGACUCCUACGGGAGGCAGCGGUGGGGAAUUUUGGACAAUGGGCGCAAGCCUGAUCCAGCCAUGCCGCGUGAGUGAAGAAGGCCUCGGUUGUAA
RNAcentral lists this ribosomal RNA (394 nucleotides) under uncultured bacterium. RNAcentral describes it as "bacterial SSU rRNA". It matches the Rfam family "Bacterial small subunit ribosomal RNA", at positions 30 to 428 of the family's 1533-position model. The record is from RNAcentral.